UAAUUGAAUAUCAGAAAUGAAUAUACUUAAGCUAUCAAUAGUACUUUUCCCACGUCUGAAACCGAAUUGGGAUUCACAUAAUAGACCGUUAUGCUCAACAAACCAUUCUAAACGAUUUUUUAUAAGAUGUUCUGUAAUUUUCAUCAAAACAGAAGAAAGUGCGAUUGGGCGAUAGGCAGAAUGGUCUGAAGAACACCUAUUAGGUUUCAGUACGGGAAUUAUUUCUUGACGUUUCCACGUGGAGGGGAUGUUACCAGAUGUCACUAUGGAAUUUAUAAGAGAUAAAUAAUAAAAUAAAGCAUCAUCAUCUAAAUGAGAGAUAAAGGAAUACGGAAUACCGUCCAGUCCAGGAGCAGAAUCCUUAACAUGAGACAAUACACCUUUUAGUUCAGUGAGAGAAAAUAUACUGUUUAAACCAAAACAGUUAUCAUUAUUUAUAUUUAUUACAGGGUAACCAAUUAUUAAGUCUUCAGGAACGAAAGGUGGAGCCAAUUUAUCUAAAAAGCUAUUAACUAAAUGAAAAGGGAUUGAUUUUGGAGAUGAAUCUUUGUAUGCAGAUCUAAACCUUCUUAUAUUUUGCCAUACAAGAGAUGGUUUGACAUCAGGUUGGAAAUGAUAAUAAUAGUGGGAAGUGAUCACUACCAAAAGUAGAUCGUAAUGGAUCCCAGGACAAAGAAGAAGCAAGAUUAGGUGUAGUGACUGUUAAAUCUGGAGCACUUGGGCCCUCGUCAGGAUGAGAACGUCGUGUAGGACGACCAUCAUUUAAUAUACACAAAUUCACUGAAUCAAAUAUAUCUAUUAAUGUGUUACCAUAAGUAUUAGAAGAUAAGUAACCCCAGGAUUCAUGGCGACAGUUAAAAUCACCAAGGAUCAUAAAAGGCUUCGGAAGAAUGGAAAUAAUAUCUUUAAUUUCAUUUAAGAUUGCAGAAGAAGGAUGAGGUAUAUAAAUAGAUACAUAACAGAUAUUUUCAACUAAAGCAGCAAUAAUAGAAAAAUCAUUACUGUGAGAAGGAAUAGAGAAGAGAGAAAAGGAAAGAGGGUGUUUCACAAGCAUGGCUACUCCGCCAUGCCCAUCCACACGAUCUUCUCUGAGACAUGAAUAACCUCGAAUCUUAAAUAAAGAUCCUGGUUUCAACCAUGUCUCUUGAAGAGCACAGAUAUAAGGUUUAAAUUUAUUUAAUAAAUAAAUAAGAUCACUUUUUUUAGGAGUGAUGCUUUGACAAUUCCAUUGAAGAACUUUGUCCAUUAUUUGGUUUAUAAAUUUGAGUAAUUGCAGAAACUAAUAUGGCAGCGUUGGACGGUGAAAAUUCAUUCGAUUGACUAAGAGAUUUUAUAAGAGAAAUAAUUAAAUCAAUUACUGAGGAUUCCAAAGGAUUUUCAUUUACUUUGUUAAUUAAUGCACAUCCAUUAGAGGGUUGGGGAAUAUUAAAAUCCCUUAAAAUUUCUUGUGUCUGCAUAUUCUGGGUCGAGCUGACACUCUUUUACGGCCACUAGAUGUCUGAGACACAGAACCAUCUGUAUCCAUCGUGCUACCUUCGUCAUUAUGAGAAAUUGUCACUACAUGACCUAUAUCAGGGGCUGUCCCCCCAGGAUCAUCCGGGGGGUCCAUCAUAUCAUUGAAAAGUGAAGAAAAGAAGACUUACCAAUAGGAUGAAAUUUACACAAAUUAACACUUUAAUAAAAACUAACUACUAAAAUAUAUACAAACUACAACUUAUCUGAUCAAAAUAUCUAAAUAUUUACAUGAAAUUUAAAAAUAAAAUGAAAAAUUAUCAAAAUUAC
Leptidea sinapis is the source of this 1782-nucleotide long non-coding RNA. RefSeq lists it as uncharacterized. NCBI's taxonomy places the organism in Eukaryota, Metazoa, Arthropoda, Insecta, Lepidoptera, Pieridae. The transcript is spliced from 3 exons. The record is from RefSeq and is a predicted model, not a curated record.